GGUCUACUGAGCAUGACCCUUUGUGGAUUCUGGAAUCAAGAGCAGGUAGGGAGGCACUGUUCUUGUCCCGGGGAUACAAAAGCAAAUGAAACAGAAAAGAAAGAUCCUUAUCUCAUGGAUCUGUAGGCAGCAGUCCUCAAAGGGUGGUCCAGAUCCUGGAGGCUGGAGGGCCCUGUUCUUGAGAACCUUUCAGGGGGGAGAUGUGUGAGGCCAAAACUAUUUUCACCGCAGCACGAGGUUGCUAUUUGCCAUCUUCCUUUUCAUUCUCUAAUGGAUAUGGUAGAAUUUUCCAGAGGUUACAUGGCAUGUA
Long non-coding RNA from Suricata suricatta (meerkat), 310 nucleotides. RefSeq lists it as uncharacterized. The record is from RefSeq and is a predicted model, not a curated record. NCBI's taxonomy places the organism in Eukaryota, Metazoa, Chordata, Mammalia, Carnivora, Herpestidae. The transcript is spliced from 3 exons.